RNAcentral lists this ribosomal RNA (499 nucleotides) under uncultured bacterium. RNAcentral describes it as "partial 16S ribosomal RNA". It matches the Rfam family "Bacterial small subunit ribosomal RNA", at positions 28 to 507 of the family's 1533-position model. The record is from RNAcentral.
GAUGAACGCUGGCGGCGUGCCUAAUACAUGCAAGUCGAGCGAACAGACGAGAGUGCUUGCACUCUCUGACGUUAGCGGCGGACGGGUGAGUAACACGUGGGUAACCUACCUAUAAGACUGGGAUAACUUCGGGAAACCGGAGCUAAUACCGGAUAAUAUUUAGCUUCGCAUGAAGCAAUAGUGAAAGACGGUUCUGCUGUCACUUAUAGAUGGACCCGCGGUGUAUUAGCUAGUUGGUGAGGUAACAGCUCACCAAGGCAACGAUACAUAGCCGACCUGAGAGGGUGAUCGGCCACACUGGGACUGAGACACGGCCCAGACUCCUACGGGAGGCAGCAGUAGGGAAUCUUCCGCAAUGGACGAAAGUCUGACGGAGCAAUGCCGCGUGAGUGAAGAAGGUUUUCGGAUCGUAAAACUCUGUUGUAAGGGAAGAACAAGUACGUUAGUAACUGAACGUACCUUGACGGUACCUUACCAGAAAGCCACGGCUAACUACGUG